This 300-nucleotide long non-coding RNA is filed under the name Gallus gallus (chicken). Lineage: Eukaryota; Metazoa; Chordata; Aves; Galliformes; Phasianidae. The record is from RNAcentral.
CCGCGGUGCUGGACGAGCAGCAGGAGGACGCAGGCGCAGCCCUUCAUGGCCUCGGCCAACACCACGGCGGUGCUGGGAAGGAACCGCUCCCCGGGCAGCGUCCGCACGUAGCGGAUACUGAGCACCAGCGACGCGUUCUGCAGCACCAGCACACCCAGAGCGCCGAACUUCAGCCGCCGCGACGCCUUCGUGGCAGCCCCGGGGUCUCCUCCUCCGCCCCCCCCCACCGCCGCCGUCGCCGCCGCCAUGGUGGCAACCGCCGGGCAACGGCGCGGCACUUCCGCAUCGCGCGGCGCUUCC